This 920-nucleotide long non-coding RNA is filed under the name Marmota monax (woodchuck). The record is from RNAcentral. Lineage: Eukaryota; Metazoa; Chordata; Mammalia; Rodentia; Sciuridae.
GCUAGAUAGACAGGCAGUCAGCUGGCUUUCAGAUCUUGUCCUUGUGAAGGAGGAAGCAGAAGAGCCAAAGCCCAGUGAUCUGGGUGUUGGAGUGUCAGGCCCUUCCACUGCCAUUGCUGCAGGGCAGCCCUGUGGGGAAUCCCAGGUCACUUUUGUUUAUUGGACUCCUGAACAUUGCCCCAUUCAGUCAGAGAAAGUCCAUUUUCAAAACCAAAAUAGCCUUUUAAAAAAAUUCCUCCUUCUGACCAGGUUUGCCCAUGGACCCACAUGGGCACAGCUCUUUAUCUGCUCCUUAGCUCAUUACUGUCCCUACAGGGCAGUUCUCAUUCCUGGCUUCUGCCUGAAAUUAUCUGUGAAGCUUUUUUUAAAAAAAUAUAUGCCUGGUUUGGGGGGUGAGUUUGGACUCUGUGUAUUUUUAAAAGUUCUUCCGGUGAUUUUAGUACUCAGCUUGGCUUAAGAACAUCUGCCUUGAAGCCUCAAACAAAAGAAACUUUUUUAACACAGUUAGUCCUAGGUAACAAAGGGAAGCUGCAAAUGAAUUUAUACUAAAGGGUGGGUGGUUGCUAGCCUAACUCUCUUGAUUUUUUCAUGUUAAAUAAUUGGUAGAAUUUUCAGCUGUGCAUUUCAGCUGCCUAGUUGGGUAAAGAUGAACGAUCCACUUUGUUGCAGGUGCAUGGAUUUUCUCCACCUUUUCAAGGCUCUUGGUGGUAGGGACUCUGUUUUACAGCUGGGUUCAGUUGCUGAUAGAAAUAUUUGACAUUCACUUUUUACAGUAUUUGACUAAAUACUUCAAAUAUAAAAAUAAAUAAGUCAACACGAAUGAGUCAGAGUCUCUAAUAGCUUCAGAAUAAUGUGGCUUGUACUAAAUGUUAGCUGCCAUUGUUAUUGUCAUUAUGACCAAGUUACUGUGCAUUCCAACC